CGUGACCUCCUUCAUCAUCUCCUAUAUAUCUGGGAACUUUCAUGGAUAUAUAAUUUUCCUAGGUAAUAUAUCUUACAUGAUAUGUAGAGUUUUUCGAUUUUAUAUUUUUUUAUGUACCAAUCGUUUUAUGGUGACAAGAUGUUUUUCUUUGGGAAUAUGAUUUUUUGUUUUCUAUUCUUCCAGAUGCUCUGAUAAGAUUUUCCAAUACUAUCGACACUCCUCAACGUUUCUUGUCACCACCCCAUUUAUUGCCCCCUAUCUUACACUCCUCAAAAUUACACUCUAACUUGUCAUCUCCUAGAUACUGUCCUUUAAUAAAGAGGAAGAGAAAGAAGAAAAGAGGAGGAGGAGGAGGAGGAGGAGGAAGAAGAAGAUGAGGGUAUUUAUAUCCAUUUAUGAAAAGAUAAUUUUUAAGAUAUUAAAAAAAGAUUUUAAAUAGUAAUAUCCUUAAUAAUAAUAUUUUAUCAUUUAUAACCACUCCAAUUUUGAUUUUAACCUUUUAUUCUUUUUUUUUCCUUCCUCACAUGCCAUCUCCGUAAUACUACUUGUUGCCCCCAACCCACCCCUUAGCUCGUGCUUGUCACUUAUUGCCGCCCUUAACUUAGCACUCGUUACCAAUCAUUACCCCUAACUUGCUUUCCAAUCGUCGAUCGUCACCCCUUAGCUCGCACUCAUUGUUGUCUAUCGUUGUCCCUCAUCUCACUCUCCGUUAGCCCCAACUUUACUCAUUGCUCCCUUGAUAUUAUCUUUGCACGAGAUGAAAACGGAAGAAGAAAGAGAUAUUUAUAUUUUAUUUAUGAAAUAAUAAUUUUAAAAAAAAUUGUAAAUUGUAAUAUCUUGUGGUUAUUGUUUUAAUCUCACAUUUAUCCAUUAGGAUGCAAUGAUGGAAUUCAUCUGUUGCUAUGGAUCAUUAUAUCUGUAAACAGAUCAUAACUACUCUGUCAGAUUCUUAAUCGCAUUACUUUAGCAAAAGCCUGUUCUUGCUUUAGCGAUCAAUGAUUGGGUAUCCCAAGUAUUAUAAUUCCAUGUGUGUAAAGCAUGAAUAUAUUGAAGGCUAAAUAGGUUUCAAAGCCAACCAAAAGAUGAACUCUUGAUGAUUGUUAGGCUAAUUGAGACAGCCUUUGCCAUCAUUAUAUAGGUUAAUUUAGCAGAUGAAUCCAAGCUUCCUCUUGGAAGAGAGAACCUUAAAAAUGGGCACCAUUGAAUAGAAAUAUCGAUUCACUUUGAGCCUUCUUGGCAGUUCUCGCAGAAAUCAUUGCUUUGAUGAUAUUAUAAUUAUGCAUACUUAACUUGAGUUCCUCCCCCAAAAGGUUUCCCUCUUUGUUUUGGUGGAAUAAUACAGCCUUUCUGUGAUCGUGCAGUUCUUCUUUCUAUCUCUCUGCUUUAUCCUCCAUGCUUAAAGGCAUGCGGAGAAGUCGGUCUCUGCUUUGAGAUGUGAUAUCACGGGCUCAGGUUAAUGAAUCCAAACAAAGAAAGGGCUUCACAUGAGCAGGGCAAUGACUGCCCAGUUGCUGAGGAUGUUGGAAAUGUCACAUUAUUGUCACCCGAGGAAGAGAGAAGUGGUCCAUGAACAGAGCUGGUCCUCUUUCUUCACAGAAUCACAGUAACUCAACAGCCAUGAUUCUCUCUCUAUCACCUUUUUCUCUCUGAACUUUGGACCAGCAGGCCACAAGAAAGGACGGUCCUUCAAAGUAAUAAUGGUGGCACAUAUGUAGGGUCUUUCUCCACAGGCAAAGAACUUAAUCGCUCAUCACCAUACAAUCCAUCAUCUUGGAUCUCUAGGCGGAUCAAUGGCAGAUGAUAGAUAUGUGUUGGAUGGUUAUGGGAUUUCUUAUUUAUUUUUAUUUUUUUAGGUUGCUUUGUGAUAAACUCAUCAUAUGGAAUUCUUGGGCUUGAUAAAUAUUUCUUUUUUAAUUUU
RNAcentral lists this long non-coding RNA (1918 nucleotides) under Musa acuminata (dwarf banana). RNAcentral describes it as "long non-coding RNA (MACU_LNC000703)". The record is from RNAcentral. Lineage: Eukaryota; Viridiplantae; Streptophyta; Magnoliopsida; Zingiberales; Musaceae.